UGGAAUUCCACCACCAGCGCUUUAUUCCGAGUUUCAGUGCUGUCCUGGGUUAACCUGAAAGCAAUCUCCGAGGCUCCCCUUUCUGGCUUUCAGGGAGCCAGAGACUGACCGGACACUUGGCUCUGCAGGUGCAGACCUGGGCCAGAGAGAGAGCCAAGGAAGUCCACAGUGGAGAGAGGGCUGUGCUGGGGGUUCCAGGAAGACUUCCUGGAGGAGGGGAUCUUGGAGCUAGGCCUUGAAGACGAGUUUGUCAAAUGAGGAAGGGCAUCCGAAGCCGAGGGAACGGUACAAGGGAACGCUGGGGAGGGGAGAGAAUCUGGAGAGUUCCGGAAAAAGCAAGUAGGACUCUUUCCAGAAGUUCGGGCAAGAUUUUCCCUGGAUCAGGGCGUGGGUUCUCCAGUACUCGUCCCUCCCGGUCACCGAGAUGCUCUGAGUUUCCGGUCUGAACCUGAACUAAAGAGAUUGUGCACGCGCCGGAGCAGCGGCGCACCAGCCCCCGGCUCCGGCGCCACCAUCUUCGCGCUAAGCUCUGGCCAAGGCCGCUGCGGCAUCGCAGUGAUCCGGACCAGCGGCCCUGCCAGCGGCCACGCCCUCCGAAUUCUCACGGCACCCCGAGACCUGCCCCUUGCUCGCCACGCCAGCCUGCGCCUGCUCAGCGAUCCCCGCUCCGGGGAGCCUCUGGACCGCGCACUGGUGCUCUGGUUCCCAGGUCCCCAGAGUUUCACCGGUGAGGACUGCGUGGAGUUCCACGUUCAUGGAGGCCCGGCAGUGGUGAGCGGCGUCCUGCAGGCCUUGGGCAGCGUGCCAGGGCUUCGACCGGCGGAGGCAGGCGAGUUCACCAGACGGGCGUUCGCCAAUGGGAAGCUGAACCUGACCGAAGUGGAGGGGCUGGCGGACCUUAUCCACGCGGAAACAGAGGCGCAGCGGCGGCAGGCCCUCAGGCAGCUGGACGGAGAGCUAGGCCACCUCUGCCGUGGCUGGGCCGAGACCCUCACCAAA
Molecule: small RNA, 999 nt
Filed under: Pan troglodytes (chimpanzee)
Lineage: Eukaryota; Metazoa; Chordata; Mammalia; Primates; Hominidae
Description: processed transcript
Source: RNAcentral